GACGAACGCUGGCGGCAGGCCUAAAACAUGCAAGUCGAACGAUGUAGCAAUACAUAGUGGCGCACGGGUGAGUAACACGUGGGAACAUACCCUUUGGUGCGGAACAACGUCGGGAAACUGACGCUAAUACCGCAUAAUAUCUACGGAUCAAAGAUUUAUCGCCAAGGGAUUGGCCCGCGCUAGAUUAGGUAGUUGGUGAG
RNAcentral lists this ribosomal RNA (200 nucleotides) under uncultured bacterium. Its description in RNAcentral is "partial 16S ribosomal RNA". It matches the Rfam family "Bacterial small subunit ribosomal RNA", at positions 28 to 256 of the family's 1533-position model. The record is from RNAcentral.